This 551-nucleotide ribosomal RNA is filed under the name uncultured bacterium. Its description in RNAcentral is "bacterial SSU rRNA". It matches the Rfam family "Bacterial small subunit ribosomal RNA", at positions 771 to 1324 of the family's 1533-position model. The record is from RNAcentral.
ACCCAAUAGAUACCCCGGUAGUCCACGCCCUAAACGAUGUCAACUGGUUGUUGGGGAAGGUAACUUCCUUAGUAACGAAAGCUAAACGCGUGAAAGUUGACCGCCUGGGGAGUACGGCCGCAAGGUUAAAACUCAAAGGAAUUGACGGGGACCCGCACAAGCGGUGGAUGAUGUGGAUUAAUUCGAUGCAAACGCGAAGAACCUUACCUACCCUUGACAUGUAGCGAACCCUGCUGAGAGGCGGGGGUGCCCGAAAGGGAGCGCUAACACAGGUGCUGCAUGGCUGUCGUCAGCUCGUGUCGUGAGAUGUUGGGUUAAGUCCCGCAACGAGCGCAACCCUUGUCACUAGUUGCUACGAAAGGGCACUCUAGUGAGACUGCCGGUGACAAACCGGAGGAAGGUGGGGAUGACGUCAAGUCCUCAUGGCCCUUAUGGGUAGGGCUUCACACGUCAUACAAUGGCGCAUACAGAGGGUUGCCAACCCGCGAGGGGAGCCAAUCCCAGAAAGUGCGUCGUAGUCCGGAUUGUUCUCUGCAACUCGAGAGCAUGAA